Molecule: ribosomal RNA, 497 nt
Filed under: uncultured bacterium
Lineage: Bacteria
Description: partial 16S ribosomal RNA
Rfam family: Bacterial small subunit ribosomal RNA
Source: RNAcentral
GAUGAACGCUGGCGGCGUGCCUAAUACAUGCGAGUCGAGCGAACAGACGAGGAGCUUGCUCCUCUGACGUUAGCGGCGGACGGGUGAGUAACACGUGGAUAACCUACCUAUAAGACUGGGAUAACUUCGGGAAACCGGAGCUAAUACCGGAUAAUAUAUUGAACCGCAUGGUUCAAUAGUGAAAGACGGUUUUGCUGUCACUUAUAGAUGGAUCCGCGCCGCAUUAGCUAGUUGGUAAGGUAACGGCUUACCAAGGCAACGAGGCGUAGCCGACCUGAGAGGGUGAGCGGCCACACUGGAACUGAGACACGGUCCAGACUCCUACGGGAGGCAGCAGUAGGGAAUCUUCCGCAAUGGGCGAAAGCGUGACGGAGCAACGCCGCGUGAGUGAUGAAGGUCUUCGGAUCGUAAAACUCUGUUAUUAGGGAAGAACAAAUGUGUAAGUAACUAUGCACGUCUUGACGGUACCUAAACAGAAAGCCACGGCUAACUACGUG